Molecule: non-coding RNA, 1694 nt
Organism: Pogona vitticeps (central bearded dragon)
Lineage: Eukaryota; Metazoa; Chordata; Lepidosauria; Squamata; Agamidae
Source: RefSeq, a predicted model, not a curated record
UCUGAUUUGUGAGCCACCCCUGUCAAUGGUCAGCACCUGCCUUAUUUAAGACCUAGCCUUUGAGAGCAACUCAUUCUCUUUUGUGAAUGUGUGUGUGUGUGGUUUCCUCAGAAAUCCAACUGUUUGUGAGACUCUGGUGAGUCAAAGGUUGACAGCAUUAAUGAAGUUGUCAUGCUUCACUGGCGUUUGUCAAGAUAAUUCCUCAAGCUCUGACUACAUCAGCCUCUGUUGUGAAAGAAAUGAAGCAACAGAAGUGCACUAUGGAGUGAGUUUGUUAUGCCCUUCACAUGGGGGCCUUACCCAGCAUCAUUCUGCAAUGGCCUAGUAACAAAUAAAAAUAUCCAUCAGGCAUUGAAGAUUCUUGAGCCAGCCAGCCAGCCAGCCAACCAACCAACCAACCCACCCCUCUCUAGUCAGUACACAUGGUUCUGAUCAGGCUUGGGACUAGCCUGUAUGAGUGGAGCAAGUUGUUAACUUUUCCUCCACACCAGAUAUUGCAAACGGCUUGUGAUGUGGCAAUGGGCUCUUUGGAACACUCCAAAUCCUCUUCAUUGUGUAUGGUUGUUUUGGUUAGUGUUGUGUCAGUGAGAGGGAGUUAACACUGCUCUUUGUGCAGAUAAUUCUGUGAAUAUAUUUAAAGUGCUUUGGGGGCUUGAAGACAUAUCAUUUAUUUGAUCUAUAUCCCACCUUUCUUUCCAAAAUGGGACUCGAAGACAUUCACAGUGAGACUGAAUAAAAAAUACUGUUUGAACUCAAAACAAGGUCAUGUAUUAAAACGUGCAGAAUACAGUCCUUCAGACAACCUGGAUCAAAGAUGUAUUAUCAGUCUGAACCAGCACUUUGAAUUGAGCCCAGAAGCAAACUGGUGGGCAGUAAAACUGUUGUGAAAGGAAAUCAGCUGCUUCCAGUUACCAAUUCUAGUCACCCACUUGGCCACAGCAUUUUUGGACCAGCUGGAGUUUCCAAAGGCAGACGCAUAAAGAACAUAUUGCAGUAGUUGCAAUGGGAUAUAACUAAAGACUUCUUUUUUCAACAUCACCAAAUGAAACAUCUUCAAAAAAGCAUAUGGUUGACACUCAAACGUUAAAUGUGCAAACACACACUCUCAGCCACCACCCAAAGCUUGCCCUGUGUGUUAAUGAAAUUAAGAAAAGCAGCUUGUUUGAUGGGACUUGUGGUGUAGAAGUACUUGGUGCAAAUAUAAAGAGCACACUUGGAAUGUCCGCUUCUUCACACCUCUUUCGACUGAGUGACUGCAGCAGGCUUUGCAUGCUGGCUUUUACCAGAUGUUUUAAAAACAGUUUUGUGAGGGCUUGUAUAUGAUCAAUUCAUUUUUGUAGCUCCAGGAGAAGAAAAAAAAUCAAGAUUACAUUGAUAUUGGUCUGGGUGUAAUAAUUCAUUUCUCAGACAGCUACAGACCAUAAAUAGGACUGACGCAUCCCAGAAUGUUUUUCCAGUUGGUUGUUUCUCAGGUACUGUUCAAUUACAGUGAGUUAAUGAUUAAAGCCCAUUUGCGUCAUUUUAGGGAAGAAACACAUAAGAAUAUUAUAUUCUGGAGUACCCCUCUCUUUUAUGAAAAUAGGCUUCUAUUUGCAUACCCUGAUUAGUUCCUCAUGCUAGCUAAUGUUUUGUUUGGCUUAUAAGUGUGCCUCUCUUUUCACACUCUGAAACAUCAGGAGUAAAGAUGAAGGAAA